UGACUGGUUUCCUGCUUAUCUGCAAAUAAGCCUCCCCAUAAUAUAAACAUGUUUCUAUCUCCACUUCAUUUAUAAUAAGUCUUUAGGCAGAUUGUAAUUAGUAUUUUGAGUUUCUAAUAGAAGAUCUAUUGUGCUGCUGGAGCAAUAUUUUCCCUGACCAUCAAAACACUGAUUAUUUCUGCAUCAGUCUCAAGGGUUCUCACCUGUUCUUCUCAUUCUGGUCAAAGUCUUGCAUCCAAUUUAUCAGAAUCAAAUUGGGUAUUUGUCUGAACACCAUCAUCUUCAGAACAUAUUGCUUGUAGUUAACCACUGUAUUCAGCUCCACCUACAAGCCAAACCAGAAAUUAUUACCAGUUCUGCUUGAAUUUAUCCUGUAGCUGGAUUUUCAUCCAACACUUAAAGAACGAUCACGAUAGGGAAUAGCAAAAUGGAAACAAACAGAAAUUUUGCUUGGAAAAAAAAUGGUACUAUUUACAAAAAUCAACUUUUUGUGUCUGUUUUACUUAUUCCCAAGUUUGCAGUGCAUAAUUUUAUACAAACCCAAUUACAUAGCUCAGUGAUUUACUGGCAAAGCUGGCCAGGAGAAAAUUAUCUGGCUUUAGCUAAUGUGUGUGCCUAUUUACAAUCAAAACAAACCCAGAGAAAAUUGCAAAAUGGCCACAAAGAAAAAAAAAUAGUCACGUCAGAAAUGCACCGGAGGUGACAUAGUUUUCAGGCUGAAAAAAGUUCACCUUGUGUUAUUAUUUCACUGGAUGAGCAACAAACUGUGGUUAUGGGUAUGGAUUCAGCCUCUCAGAUCAUCUAUUUACUUAUUCCAGUAUUUACCUUGAAGCCCGUCUGGGGUCUCACUGGUUUGGAAAGCGUGGUGCUUUCCUUUCGCCCUUUCCAUCAUUCCUGUAGGGAUUUCUCUGCACAGUUAACGGGUGUGUGGGCUCUGCUCACCAGGAUCACUCAGCUGUUUACAGCUCCCCUGGCUCUGGGCAGGUUUGGGAUGCAGGGUUUGGGAUGCAGGGUUGGGAUGCAGGUUUGGGAUUCAGGGUUGGGAUGCAGGUUUGGGAUGCAGGUUCUGGGAUGCAGGGGUUGGGAUGCAGGGGUUGGAUGCAGUUUUGGGAUGCAGGGUUUGGGAUGCAGGUUUGGGAUGCAGGUUCUGCGAUGCAGGGCUUAGGAUGCAGGGCUUAGGAUGCAGGGGUUGGAUGCAGUUUUGGGAUGCAGGGUUUGGGAUGCAGGUUUGGGAUGCAGGUUCUGGGAUGCAGGUUCUGGGAUGCAGGGGUUGGAUGCAGUUUUGGGAUGCGGGGUUUGGGAUGCAGGUUUGGGAUGCAG
This 1320-nucleotide long non-coding RNA is filed under the name Corvus moneduloides (New Caledonian crow). RNAcentral describes it as "lncRNA (ENSCMUG00000017281.1)". The record is from RNAcentral. Lineage: Eukaryota; Metazoa; Chordata; Aves; Passeriformes; Corvidae.